RNA transcript from Hippopotamus amphibius kiboko, 2403 nucleotides. It is a transcript of the gene named family with sequence similarity 162 member B, with no coding region annotated. NCBI's taxonomy places the organism in Eukaryota, Metazoa, Chordata, Mammalia, Artiodactyla, Hippopotamidae. The record is from RefSeq and is a predicted model, not a curated record. The transcript is spliced from 6 exons.
CCCGGGUGCCCACGUCAGACUCCAGCUGCGCAUCCGGGGCUCCCCUGGGAGCCGCGCGAGGCGGGGCGGGACAGGGGUGCCAGGAGCUCCGUCUGCAGCUCCCGCUGGGCUGCGGGCGCGGAAGCAGCGCUCAGCAUGCUCGCCGCCGUCGGCAGCCUCCGGCGCCUCCGCCUGGGAAACGUCCCCCGCUGCACCCCGGGAGCGCCCCCAGGAGCCGCGCGGCGGCCCGUCGCGUCUCUGCGGGCCCCCGGUCACCCCCAGUACUCCCGCAGCGGGGCCCCCGGCGGCUCAGAGCCGCCAGGUUCCGCAGGGAGGGUCCACAGGGUCCCCGCCGAGCACAAGCCGUCGCAAUUCGACAAGAAAAUCCUGCUGUGGACUGGGCGUUUCAAAGCGAUGGAGGAGAUCCCGCCUCUGAUUCCGCCAGAAAUGAUCGAUGCUGCAAGAAACAAAGCGCGAGUGAAAGCUUGUUACAUAAUGAUUGGACUCACAAUCAUUGCCUGCUUUGCCGUGAUAGCGUCAGGCAAAAGGGCUGCAGAACGACAUGAAUCUUUAACAAGCUGGAACCUGGCAAAGAAGGCGAAGUGGCGUGAGGAAGCUGCGCUGGCUGCACAGGCCAAGGCUAAAUGAUAGUCCAGCUGACAGUGUUCAUCGGAUUAUCAUCACUGUCAGCAGCAACAAUAGAAGAUAGGGAUUGGCUUACAUAAUUGUGGGAGCUGGCAAAUCAAGGAACCUAUAGGACAGGCCAUCAGGCUGGGAACUCUCUGGCAGGAGCUGAAGCUAUAGUCCAAAGGCAGAAUUUUUUUCUUCCUCAUGGAAACUUCAGUUUUGCUCUGCAGGUCUUUCAACUGAUUGGAUAAGGCUCACCCAGAUUAUCAAUGUAAAUCCUAGAUCAAAGGUUUCAUACUCUUCCAUUACAUCUACUGUCUGCCUCUUUGGAUGGUGGCCAUACUCUGGUGUACCAGUACAGAAGAUUUCACCAUGGAAAGCCGUGCCUGACCUUUCGAUCUGACCAUACUUUUCAUAAGACUGCUAUAUCUUCAGCCUUCAGGAGGGAAGUCCAUUGUUCCCACCCCAAAAACACUGAAAGGGAAAACUAUUUUCAGUUGUUUCAACUAGUUUGUUUUAUUUAAAUUCACUUAUCAUGUAAUCUGAAAAUAUCAAUUUUAUAAUAACUAUUGUUCUAUUGUUUUAGCAUAUAAAUGUACAGAUUCUCAUUUGAACCUGAAAAAAUGAUAUACUAAUUCUAAAUUUGUAUACACAAAUAAUGUAGCAUCUAAAUAGAGCCAGAACUCCAAGGAAAAAAUGAAUAAACCUACCAUCGUCUUGGGAAAUUUUAACAUACCUCUCUUAGAAACUGACAAAUUAAGCUGACUAGUAAAGAUAUGUUAUGUGAAUCAAUUAAUAAUACACAUUCUUUUCUAGCAUGUAGGAACUUUUCACUUAAAACUGAGCACAUACUAGGCCAUAAAGCACAUUUCAUCAACUUUUAAAUUACAUGUAAUCACAUUACAACUUAGAAAUUAAUGGUAUGUUUUUAAAGUUUGAAGGUUUAAAGACACAUUUAUAAAUGAUUCUUUGGUCAAAGAAUAAAUCAUAACUGGAGUUUAAAAAUGCUUAGAGAUGAAUAAGAAAAAGCUAUAUAUUAAAACUGGUGGAAUGCAGCUAAAGUGGUACUUCAAAGCAAAUUGUUAGCCUCACAAAAUGCAUGUCUUAGAAAAGAAAGAUUUAGGCAAAUGUGGUAAACAUCCCUAAAAAAUCAGACAAAAACAGAAUAAAUCCAAAGGAAAUAAAAUAUUGGAAACUAUAAAAUUAAUGUUGCCGAAACUUGGCCUCUGCUUACCGGUGCCAAAUAGAAACACGGAGACAGAGUUUUGGGUGAAGUAGAAAAGAGUAGCUUUUGUUGCUCUGCCAGGCAAAGGGGGCCACAGCAGGCUAAUGCCCUCAAGACUGUGUGUCUUCCCUGGAGGGGGCAGUGAGGAGUCUUACAAUGUUCCAGGAGCAGGGAGUGAUCAGCUUGUGGACAUUCUUCUGACUGGUUGGUGGGGAGGUAAUAGGGAGUCAGCAUCAUCAGCCUUCCGGUUCCAACCAGUCUGGGGUCUGCGUGCUUGUGGGCAGCAUACCGUUAACGUCUUCCCCCUGGUGGGGGUUUCAGGAUCUGCCAAACAGCUCAAAGGACAUGGCUCAGAAUAUUAUCUACAGUCCUUGAGGUGCUAAAGGUGCUUGACUCUGUUUAAUGGCUAAAGUAUUAUUAUUUUGUCUUCACUGUUUUCCUUUCUUUAUGCAUUUUCUCACUUCUCUGAUUAAUUUUAUCCUUUGACUAAAGUUUUUCUAUAGACAAAAGGCAGGUGGAGGACAUGGGUGGGGGUCUGUUCUGGGAAGGUCUCAUAGGGUCCUGCUUAUUUA